RNAcentral lists this transfer RNA (85 nucleotides) under Felis catus (domestic cat). It matches the Rfam family "tRNA". From Rfam's summary of the family: Transfer RNA (tRNA) molecules are approximately 80 nucleotides in length. Their secondary structure includes four short double-helical elements and three loops (D, anti-codon, and T loops). Further hydrogen bonds mediate the characteristic L-shaped molecular structure. tRNAs have two regions of fundamental functional importance: the anti-codon, which is responsible for specific mRNA codon recognition, and the 3' end, to which the tRNAs corresponding amino acid is attached (by aminoacyl-tRNA synthetases). tRNAs cope with the degeneracy of the genetic code in two manners: having more than one tRNA (with a specific anti-codon) for a particular amino acid; and 'wobble' base-pairing, i.e. permitting non-standard base-pairing at the 3rd anti-codon position. The record is from Rfam by way of RNAcentral. Lineage: Eukaryota; Metazoa; Chordata; Mammalia; Carnivora; Felidae.
GCCUGGGUGGCUCAGUGGGUUGAGCGUCUGACUUCAGCUCAGGUCAUGAUCUCGCGGUUCGUGAGUUCGAGCCCCGCGUCGGGCU